This 252-nucleotide ribosomal RNA is filed under the name uncultured bacterium. Its description in RNAcentral is "partial 16S ribosomal RNA". It matches the Rfam family "Bacterial small subunit ribosomal RNA", at positions 524 to 776 of the family's 1533-position model. The record is from RNAcentral.
UACGGAGGAUGCGAGCGUUACCCGGAUUUAUUGGGUUUAAAGGGUGCGUAGGCGGGAUGCCAAGUCAGCGGUAAAAAUGCGGUGCUCAACGCCGUCGAGCCGUUGAAACUGGCGUUCUUGAGUGGGCGAGAAGUAUGCGGAAUGCGUGGUGUAACGGUGAAAUGCAUAGAUAUCACGCAGAACUCCGAUUGCGAAGGCAGCAUACCGGCGCCCUACUGACGCUGAGGCACGAAAGCGUGGGUAUCGAACAGG